GGUGUUUAUGGACGAUUCAAAAUGGUUACUGCACGUGUGUAACCAGUGCGUGUUGUCGAUCGGUUUGCUACGUGGAUUUUAAUAAUGAACAGUUUAUUCAUUUGAUAAAUAAUAAACACAAUUAAACACACAGUAGUAAGAUGUUGAGGCUUUUGAGAUGUUAUGCGAUACCUGUACAGAACUUGUCACUCACGACAGUGCAAAUAAAUUUACAACAAAAUAAUCACGUUUGUUCGUUCUGCAAUUUUCAUCACCUGAAGCCAAUCACGUAUUUCAGAAAUGGUUCUCUUCAUCGUCGAACGACAAGUACAAAUACGGCAACUGCGGAUAAAACAACGCCAAAGAAGAUUAAACAUAAGAAGAAAAAGUAUGCAGAGCUCCUGGAAGUAUCCGGUCAGAAAACAACGAAUACAAAAGCUACCGUCCAAAAGUUGAACGCUGUCAGUGUAUCAAAACUUGCUAAUGAGCCUGAGAUCAGAUUGGAUCAAGUUCACAAAAUCAACAGUUUAAAUAAACUACCGAGUUCCAAGACAGUUGAUGCAGAAUGUAAGCAAGACAUGGAGCAAAAAGAAUCCGAGGAUUCAGGCUAUCAAAGUAAUUUGCAUAACGACGAUAUUGAAGAGGACCAUAUGGUAUACGGUUCCUCGGAUCAAACUAUGCUGAUCAAGAAUGCAUUGGUGUUAACCACAUUAGAAGAUUAUUCUCAAGAUGCAGUAGACAGAAGCACUACCGAUUCUCAACCUAGCAAUGCGACGAAAUCGAAAAAGAAGAAAGAGAAAAAAUCAAAAGCUCACACCGAUGGACACAACAAAGACGAGAAUAUGAAAAUGAAAAUUAAGGAAUUAGAAGAGCUGGGUAAAAAAACGAGUUUUGAACGCAACCUGCAUGCAUAUCUGAACGUUUGCGUCAACUGUGGAUUGACAUCCGAAGCAUCACGCACAUUAUUAUGGUAUAGAAAACGAGGAAAGUACUUGAAGUAUGUACUUAGAGGUCUUAAUAUUGUUCACUACAACACUAUAUUACAUGGAUUUGCGUCAGUCGGUAACCUAGAGAAGUUGAAAGUGUUUUUGCGAAUCAUAGCUCAGGAUUCGUUGAAGACCAAUUCACAAACGUACGCUGCUGUAUUCGAAUGUGUGGGGCGUAUCGCAGACCAUCAAAAUCACCAAGGUUACCUGGAGUCUAUCUCAUCAGAUAUGGCAGCACGGCAUAUCAGUUUCAAUGAUGUUUUGGACAAAUCAGUAUUCAUAAACGAUCAACGAGAAAUGGUUCUUCGAGGAAUUCGCAUCUUGAACCCAGAUUUCGAACCAAUAUAUACAAAAUCAAAUACUUCUUACGCAAACCAUCUACUCGAUGAAAUAUCAAAGACUGAUAGUCAGCAGACUACGCCAGCCAAAGGAUUGUUUUCAGUACCGGAAUUGUCUGAAAUGGCUAGACGUCAAAUGGAACUUGAAUCACUUGGUCAUGUUACUCUGAAAAGCAUCGCCACAAAUGCCGAACCCUCACCAACAGUUUUACUUUGUAGAAAGAAAGUCAUGGAGUCUGAGAAGAUGUGGAGACGUAUCAUUGCAGAAUCCUUUCAAAGAGAUCUGGAUAUUUUGAAAAAGCAAUGCACCACAGGAGAAAGUCUGCAACGGCCAAUAAAUAUAUAUCCCUACCUAAAAGUUUUGGAUGAGCAUCAUUACAUUGAUGUUAUUGCAAAAGAAAUUAAACGAUUAGCUACUGGUUCCGAAAUGUUCAGCCCUUCUUUAAACACGCUGACUCGAAAUCUUGGCCACAAUAUAUUUAGAAAAUAUGAGAUUGAAAUGAAGUCAAGAUACGGCGUGAGUAAAAAGAUAUUCCGAAUAUACGGAAAAUAUUGUGAUCGGUAUUUAAACGGAUACAACGGAAUGAAUACACGAUCUAUCUGGCAAAAUCUCCUCCAUGAAGAAAUACACAGUGGCCCGACCACAGACAUACAAAUUACAGAGUGGCCAUCAACUGUUUUUGGAAGUCUCGGUCGAUUUUUGUAUGACAUCAUUUUGAGGGAUAUCAAAAUUGAUGUCAAUUGUAUAAAAAACAAAAGUAAAACUGAAAGAUAUUUGCCUGCGUUUUACACUGUCUUUAGAAACACUCGAUACGUAAUUACGCAAGAGAUAAAACCGCAUCCAGUCUUGUCACGAAUAUACAAACAAGCGCAGCUCGAUACCUUGGAUUUUGAUACCACAGAUGUACCAUCGGUGAUUCCACCAGUACCCUGGCAUACUGUCCACCAUGGAGGAUACUUGGUAGCUGGUCAAAAAAUUAUAAGACUGCCUUACCAAGCUGUUCAGCAAUGGCGAAUACUCCAAAGUAUACCACAACAGCAGAUAUACCCUGUUCUAGAUUGUUUGAAUCAACUGGGUAGUAUACCCUGGAGAAUAAACCAACCUGUUUUGGACAUCGCUGUGAAGGUAUUCCAGAAUGGCGGAUCAAAAAAAUUAGAUAUUCCAGAACCACAGUCUCCCGUAGUCCCAACUGUAACGGUUGAUGCGAAUGCAUCAAAGGAAGAACGAGUCAAGGCUUCGAAAGCCCGACUGAAGGAAAGGCAGAAAAGAUCAGAUAUGUACUCUCUCUGGUGUGAUACUCUUUACAAACUGUCCUUGGCUAAUCACUUCAGGGGCCAAGUAUUUUGGUUACCACACAGUUUAGAUUUCAGAGGACGUGUAUAUCCAGUCCCUCCACAUCUGAAUCAUUUGGGUUCUGACUUGGCACGUUCCUUGAUGGUCUUUGCUUUAGGAAAACCCUUAGGUCCAGAUGGGCUUGAUUGGCUAAAGAUCCAUAUUAUCAAUAUAACAGGACUUAAGAAAAGAGAAUCUAAUGACGAGCGACUGAAAUAUGCAAAUGAGCUGUUACCAAAAAUUUUAGACAGUGCAGAAAACCCGUUUACGGGUGAGAAGUGGUGGCAAGAAUCUGAAGAGCCGUGGCAAACGUUAGCUGCUUGUUUUGAAAUAGCCAAUGCUGUGAAGUCGCCAAAGCCGUCUGAAUAUAUUAGUCACUUUCCCGUACAUCAAGAUGGCAGUUGUAACGGAUUGCAACAUUAUGCAGCACUUGGAAGAGAUGAACAAGGAGCUGAAAGUGUUAACCUUGUUCCACGGCCGAAACCUCAAGAUGUCUACAGCUCCGUUGCUGCCCUGGUUGAAAAAGAGAGACAAAAAGAUGCGGAAAAUGGAGUGAAAAUAGCACAAGUUCUAGAUGGGUUAAUUAAAAGAAAAGUCAUCAAACAAACUGUCAUGACUACUGUGUAUGGUGUAACACGAUUUGGUGCCAGACUACAAAUCGCUAGACAACUGAAAGAAAUUGAAUUCUCCGAAGAAUAUUUGUGGCGAGGAAGUAGUUAUUUAGUGAUCAAGACGUUUAACAGCUUGAGAGAAAUGUUUACUAGCACAAAAUUAAUUCAAGAUUGGUUGACGGAUUGUGCCCGUUAUAUCGCCCUUGUAUGCGCAGAGAAUGUGGAGUGGGUUACACCUUUGGGGCUUCCCGUUGUACAACCUUACAGUAAAGGCUACACAAAUUAUCAAGCCCAGAGACCUGAUGCACAUUUAAUUAUGGAUAUGUUCACUAAACCGAAUGUAAUGAAACAAAAGAACGCAUUUCCACCUAAUUUCAUUCAUUCGCUAGACUCUUGUCACAUGAUGUUGACAAGUGUGCAUUGUGAACACGCUGGAAUCACUUUCGUGUCUGUGCAUGACUGUUUCUGGACUCAUGCUUGCACAGUCCCUGUAAUGAAUAAGAUUUGUCGUGAACAGUUUGUGGCACUGCACUCUGAACCAAUUCUACAAAAUCUUUCAAAUUUCCUUGUUGAAAGAUUCGGUUACAAAGAAAGCGAGUUACGUGAUGACGAGUCUGUACCAGCAUCUGAGAAAUUAAAAUUGAACAAUGUCUUAAAACAAGUCCCGGUACAAGGUACGUUCGACCUGAAAAGCGUUUUGGCCUCUGUGUACUUCUUCAGUUAGACAUGAUACACCUAUGCGAAAGGAGCAUACAAAAUGAAUGUGAAAGUAACAUGAAUUUUCAGUUGCAACAAAAAUUAAUCGAAGUAGCGUGCACAGUAACGUCACACUCGCUAUCGGUGAGUCGUUUACACGCAUGAAUUGGCGGUACUUCGCGAACGCAGUUGAUGCAAACUGCGUUAUAUCCUGUUCCCGAGUUCAGUUGAUCUCCAACGAUCAUUCUCAAGUCUAAAUUUGCAGGUGGAAUCGAAAAACAGAAUAGUAAUCGUGACACAGUUCUGCAAGAUUGCAGAUUUAUGGAUGAAGAAAUGUUAAUGAAACAAAAUGUGAAUUGUAUCCUUUAACGAACCUCCGUAUCCCACAGAACAAACACAAUUUAGUGUUGGAUCUGAUUUUGGUGAUGAUUGUUGAUCAUUCAAGUAUGAUUUCCUUCAACUAUACAAGGUGCAAUAUUGGUUUCCUCUUCAGCUACACAAAAGUCAUUAUUACGGUUAAGUCGCUAUGUUGAACAGUUUACAUGAUACCUGUGGGUUUGGUAUAUGAGAACGUAAUAUUUUGUACAGCUGUCUGGUAUAAUGAGAAUCGACGGUUUCUGGAGUUUGAGCUCUAUGAAUAAUUUUCCCACGUGUUCACGCCUUAAGGAUCUCCGUGGUAUUCUAUAUGCGUGAUAAAAUGUAAAUUUAUUCUUUAAUUUAAACAUCGUGCUGAGCGUCGAAGCCUUCGACCACACAAUGUAAACCUAACGAUGUAAGCCCCGUAUCAUCGACGAUAUGCCCCGGUCGCGAGCUUGACUCGUGGGUAUUGUAUACACAAUCGUCGAUGCGUACACACAUUGUAUAUACGCAAAUAAUAAAAAUUAUUGUUCACAUU
RNA transcript from Neodiprion virginianus, 4838 nucleotides. It is a transcript of the gene named DNA-directed RNA polymerase, mitochondrial, with no coding region annotated. The transcript has 20 exons. The record is from RefSeq and is a predicted model, not a curated record. NCBI's taxonomy places the organism in Eukaryota, Metazoa, Arthropoda, Insecta, Hymenoptera, Diprionidae.